Molecule: ribosomal RNA, 500 nt
Filed under: uncultured bacterium
Lineage: Bacteria
Description: partial 16S ribosomal RNA
Rfam family: Bacterial small subunit ribosomal RNA
Source: RNAcentral
AUUGAACGCUGGCGGCAUGCCUUACACAUGCAAGUCGAACGGCAGCGCGGACUUCGGUCUGGCGGCGAGUGGCGAACGGGUGAGUAAUGCAUCGGAACGUGCCUUUCAGUGGGGGAUGACGUAGCGAAAGUUACGCUAAUACCGCAUAUUCUCUCCGGAGGAAAGCAGGGGAUCGCAAGACCUUGCGCUGAUAGAGCGGCCGAUGUCGGAUUAGCUAGUUGGUGAGGUAAAGGCUCACCAAGGCGACGAUCCGUAGCGGGUCUGAGAGGAUGAUCCGCCACACUGGGACUGAGACACGGCCCAGACUCCUACGGGAGGCAGCAGUGGGGAAUUUUGGACAAUGGGGGCAACCCUGAUCCAGCCAUGCCGCGUGAGUGAAGAAGGCCUUCGGGUUGUAAAGCUCUUUCGGCCGGGAAGAAAUCGUGUGGGCUAAUAUCCUGCAUGGAUGACGGUACCGGAAUAAGAAGCACCGGCUAACUACGUGCCAGCCGCCGCGGUAA